UCAGUCCUGCAUUGUUCGUUAGCCCUAUAUGUUUUUAACCGUACUUUUUUACCGGGAUUCCUACAUUUAUUGAUGGAUGCCAUGCCUGCUUGCUCAGGACGGCAGAAAUCGGUAUGCGGAAACCCACCUGCUUAUGGCGGGUUCAUAAAACAUCCUGGGAGAACGGCAUAGGUGGGAUUGAU
Molecule: non-coding RNA, 182 nt
Filed under: Mesobacillus foraminis
Lineage: Bacteria; Bacillati; Bacillota; Bacilli; Caryophanales; Bacillaceae
Description: 6S RNA
Rfam family: 6S / SsrS RNA
About the family: E. coli 6S RNA was the first non coding RNA to be sequenced, but its function was unknown until recently.
Source: RNAcentral